UACGAAGGGUGCUAGCGUUGUUCGGAAUCACUGGGCGUAAAGCGCGCGUAGGCGGCUUUUCAAGUCAGGGGUGAAAUCCUUGGGCUCAACCCAAGAAUUGCCCUUGAAACUGGAAGGCUUGAGUGUCGGAGGGGAUAGCGGAAUUCCUAAUGUAGAGGUGAAAUUCGUAGAUAUUAGGAGGAACACCGAUGGCGAAGGCAGGUCACUGGGCCGCAACUGACGCUGAGGAGCGAAAGCAUGGGGAGCGAACAGG
RNAcentral lists this ribosomal RNA (253 nucleotides) under uncultured bacterium. Its description in RNAcentral is "partial 16S ribosomal RNA". It matches the Rfam family "Bacterial small subunit ribosomal RNA", at positions 524 to 776 of the family's 1533-position model. The record is from RNAcentral.